UGAUUCCGCUUUAGAGGAAUGGAUCGUCGAUCAGAUGCAUACUGUGAGACCUGUGGUGGAAACUGGCUAUGAGAAUCUUCUACUUGUUAGGCUGUUAUUGGAGACGAAGAUACCCUCUAUUCGAAAGUCUACAGUUGCUGAGGGGUUGACUGUUGAUGGGAUAUUGGAGAGCUGGGCAAAGAUUAAGCCUGUAAU
Molecule: non-coding RNA, 195 nt
Organism: Camelina sativa (false flax)
Lineage: Eukaryota; Viridiplantae; Streptophyta; Magnoliopsida; Brassicales; Brassicaceae
Source: RefSeq, a predicted model, not a curated record